AUGAACAAUCUCCCAUGGAUCAUUGGUGGGGAUUUUAGUGAGAUACUCUUUGGAAACGAGAAAUAAGGAGGUAAUGUUCGUCCUUGCAGAUGUAUGCAAGGAUUCAGGGAUGCACUAAAUUUCUACUCCCUUGAAGAUCUUGGACAUAAUGGAGACAUAUACACAUGGAGGAAAGGAAGGAUUAGGGAAAGGCUUGAUCAUAUAGUUGGCAACCAAUUGUGGAAAUCUAUGUUUCCAAUGCAUGGGGUUUUGCAUGAAGAAUUUGGCAAAUCUAAUCACAGACCAAUAAUUAUGGACACAAUGGUGCAUAGAAUAGGAAGCCGAUGGGGUAAAAUAGAUUUGAAGCUUGAUGGCUUCGUGAGGAUUCGGUAG
RNAcentral lists this ribosomal RNA (372 nucleotides) under Triticum aestivum (bread wheat). RNAcentral's name for it is "partial small subunit ribosomal RNA". Lineage: Eukaryota; Viridiplantae; Streptophyta; Magnoliopsida; Poales; Poaceae. The record is from RNAcentral.